AUAAAGUUUUAUUUUGGCUUGAAAUUUUAUUAUUGAUUUAUUUUAUAUGUAAAUUUUUGUAUGUUUUUUUAUUUAUUUAAAUAAUAAAUAAUUUUUAUUAUAUUUUCAAUAAUUAGUUUUAAAUAAUCAAGGAAACUUGGAAGUAGUAAUUUCAUUUAGUAUUGGCUAAAUUUGUGCCAGCAGUCGCGGUUAUACAAAUAAUGCAAAUAAAUUUUGUUUAGUAAAAGUUAAAUUUAUUAAGAUAUUUUUAUAUAUCUUUAUAUAAUAAAUAUAAAUUUAUUAGGUGAAAUUUUAAAUUUAUUAAUUUAUAAUAAAAUGUUAUUUAAGCUUGGAAAUUUUAUAAAUAAACUAGGAUUAGAUACCCUAUUAUUAAAAAUGUAGAUUAAAAUACUAAAGUAGUAGUAGUUAUGUUCUUGAAACUUAAAAAAUUUGGCGGUAUUUUAGUCUGUUCAGAGGAACCUGUUUUAUAAUCGAUAAUCCACGAUGUACCUCACUUAAAUUUGUAUUUCAGUUUAUAUACCGUUGUUAUUAGAAUAUUUUAAUAGAAUAAUAAUUUUCAAUAAAUUUAAUUUAAAUUUUAUAUCAGAUCAAGGUGUAGCUUAUAUUUAAGUAAUAAUGGGUUACAAUAAAUAUAUUUAAAUGAAUUUAAAUGUGAAAUGUUUAAUGAAAUUGGAUUUGAUAGUAAAGUUUAAUAGAUUAUAAAUUUGAUUUUAGCUCUAAAAUAUGCACAUAUCGCCCGUCGCUCUUAUUAUUAAGGUAAGAUAAGUCGUAACAUAGUAGGUGUACCGGAAGGUGUCCCUAGAAUGA
RNAcentral lists this non-coding RNA (807 nucleotides) under Acidiella didymera. The record is from RNAcentral. Lineage: Eukaryota; Metazoa; Arthropoda; Insecta; Diptera; Tephritidae.